CCUACGGGAGGCAGCAGUGAGGAAUAUUGGUCAAUGGGCGGGAGCCUGAACCAGCCAAGUCGCGUGAAGGAAGAAGGUACUUAGUAUUGUAAACUUCUUUUGUCGGGGAACAAAGGCGGAGACGCGUCUCCGGAUGAGUGUACCCGAAGAAAAAGCAUCGGCUAACUCCGUGCCAGCAGCCGCGGUAAUACGGAGGAUGCGAGCGUUAUCCGGAUUUAUUGGGUUUAAAGGGUGCGCGGGCGGGAGAUCAAGUCAGCGGUAAAAUGUCGGGGCUCAACCCCGGCCGGCCGUUGAAACUGGUUGUCUAGAGUUGGAGAGAGGUAUGCGGAAUUCGUGGUGUAGCGGUGAAAUGCAUAGAUAUCACGAAGGACUCCGAUUGCGAAGGCAGCAUACCGGCUCCAUACUGACGCUGAGGCACGAAAGCGUGGGGAUCGAACAGGAUUAGAUACCCCUGUAGUC
Molecule: ribosomal RNA, 459 nt
Filed under: uncultured bacterium
Lineage: Bacteria
Description: partial 16S ribosomal RNA
Rfam family: Bacterial small subunit ribosomal RNA
Source: RNAcentral